Molecule: ribosomal RNA, 253 nt
Filed under: uncultured bacterium
Lineage: Bacteria
Description: partial 16S ribosomal RNA
Rfam family: Bacterial small subunit ribosomal RNA
Source: RNAcentral
UACGUAGGGACCGAGCGUUGUCCGGAUUCAUUGGGCGUAAAGGGCUCGUAGGCGGCCAACUAAGUCAGACGUGAAAUCCCUCAGCUUAACUGGGGAACUGCGUCUGAUACUGGAUGGCUUGGAUUUGGGAGAGGGAUGCGGAAUUCCAGGUGUAGCGGUGAAAUGCGUAGAUAUCUGGAGGAACACCGGUGGCGAAGGCGGCAUCCUGGACCAAUAUUGACGCUGAGGAGCGAAAGCCAGGGGAGCAAACGGG